GAUGAACGCUGGCGGCGUGCUUAACACAUGCAAGUCGAACGAUGAAGCCCAGCUUGCUGGGUGGAUUAGUGGCGAACGGGUGAGUAACACGUGAGUAACCUGCCCUUAACUCUGGGAUAAGCCUGGGAAACUGGGUCUAAUACCGGAUAGGAGCGCCUGCCGCAUGGUGGGUGUUGGAAAGAUUUAUCGGUUUUGGAUGGACUCGCGGCCUAUCAGCUUGUUGGUGAGGUAAUGGCUCACCAAGGCGACGACGGGUAGCCGGCCUGAGAGGGUGACCGGCCACACUGGGACUGAGACACGGCCCAGACUCCUACGGGAGGCAGCAGUGGGGAAUAUUGCACAAUGGGCGCAAGCCUGAUGCAGCGACGCCGCGUGAGGGAUGACGGCCUUCGGGUUGUAAACCUCUUUCAGUAGGGAAGAAGCGAAAGUGACGGUACCUGCAGAAGAAGCCCCGGCUAACUACGUGCCAGCAGCCGCGGUAAUACGUAGGGUGCGAGCGUUAUCCGGAAUUAUUGGGCGUAAAGAGCUCGUAGGCGGUUUGUCGCGUCUGUCGUGAAAGUCCGGGGCUUAACCCCGGAUCUGCGGUGGGUACGGGCAGACUAGAGUGCAGUAGGGGAGACUGGAAUUCCUGGUGUAGCGGUGGAAUGCGCAGAUAUCAGGAGGAACACCGAUGGCGAAGGCAGGUCUCUGGGCUGUAACUGACGCUGAGGAGCAAAAGCAUGGGGAGCGAACAGGAUUAGAUACCCUGGUAGUCCAUGCCGUAAACGUUGGCACUAGGUGUGGGGACCAUUCCACGGUUUCCGCGCCGCAGCUAACGCAUUAAGUGCCCCGCCUGGGGAGUACGGCCGCAAGGCUAAAACUCAAAGGAAUUGACGGGGGCCCGCACAAGCGGCGGAGCAUGCGGAUUAAUUCGAUGCAACGCGAAGAACCUUACCAAGGCUUGACAUGUUCUCGAUCGCCGUAGAGAUACGGUUUCCCCUUUGGGGCGGGUUCACAGGUGGUGCAUGGUUGUCGUCAGCUCGUGUCGUGAGAUGUUGGGUUAAGUCCCGCAACGAGCGCAACCCUCGUUCCAUGUUGCCAGCACGUAAUGGUGGGGACUCAUGGGAGACUGCCGGGGUCAACUCGGAGGAAGGUGAGGACGACGUCAAAUCAUCAUGCCCCUUAUGUCUUGGGCUUCACGCAUGCUACAAUGGCCGGUACAAUGGGUUGCGAUACUGUGAGGUGGAGCUAAUCCCAAAAAGCCGGUCUCAGUUCGGAUUGGGGUCUGCAACUCGACCCCAUGAAGUCGGAGUCGCUAGUAAUCGCAGAUCAGCAACGCUGCGGUGAAUACGUUCCCGGGCCU
This 1342-nucleotide ribosomal RNA is filed under the name uncultured bacterium. RNAcentral describes it as "bacterial SSU rRNA". It matches the Rfam family "Bacterial small subunit ribosomal RNA", at positions 28 to 1381 of the family's 1533-position model. The record is from RNAcentral.